UCAGACCCCUCGUGCGGCGUCAUCCCGCUGAACCCCCCCAGGGCCGGAAGGCAGCAAGGGUAGGUGGGCCCUGGCGGGUGUGCGGGGGGUCCCUCGU
RNAcentral lists this signal recognition particle RNA (97 nucleotides) under Kineococcus radiotolerans. RNAcentral describes it as "small signal recognition particle RNA". It matches the Rfam family "Bacterial small signal recognition particle RNA". From Rfam's summary of the family: The signal recognition particle (SRP) is a universally conserved ribonucleoprotein involved in the co-translational targeting of proteins to membranes. Archaeal SRP consists of a 7S RNA and homologues of the eukaryotic SRP19 and SRP54 proteins. Lineage: Bacteria; Bacillati; Actinomycetota; Actinomycetes; Kineosporiales; Kineosporiaceae. The record is from RNAcentral.